This 229-nucleotide ribosomal RNA is filed under the name uncultured bacterium. RNAcentral's name for it is "partial 16S ribosomal RNA". It matches the Rfam family "Bacterial small subunit ribosomal RNA", at positions 568 to 796 of the family's 1533-position model. The record is from RNAcentral.
CGCGUAGGCGGCUUCUUAAGUCAGAUGUGAAAGCCCGGGGCUUAACCCCGGAAGUGCAUUUGAAACUAAGGAGCUUGAGUAUGGGAGAGGGAAGUGGAAUUCCUGGUGUAGAGGUGAAAUUCGUAGAUAUCAGGAGGAACACCGGUGGCGAAGGCGACUUCCUGGACCAAUACUGACGCUGAGGCGCGAAGGCGUGGGGAGCAAACAGGAUUAGAUACCCUGGUAGUCC